AUAAUGAUGGUGGUGGUGAUGAGGAGGAUGGUGAUGAUGGUGGUAGUGAUACAAUAAUCGUCAUCCAUGGAGACUACAGCCCAAUGCACCCAGCACCAUACAUGUACUAACACAUUUCAGCCUCACAUUGGUGCUGUUGUUACCCCUGUGUUACAGCUGGGUAAACCAAGAUGCAGAGAGUAAGUGACCUGCCCAGGGUCAAGAAUUCUUGGGUGGUGGGACAAGAGGAGAACACUGGAAUCCCCAGGAUGGGUGACAUAACUAGAAGAGGUGUGUGUGGAAUGCAAUACUUCCCAGAGUUUGGUGGCUGUGAAUCUACCCCUUUGUUUCUUCCCAGAGCAUCUGCUAGGACUCAGGCUCUAUGGAACUUUUGAGAACUCUGGUUUAAACAGUUGCCCUGACUAGCUAGCUCCAGUAUUUCUUGAGCCCCCUUCAAUGUACACUUGGAAGCAAGUGCAGGUUGAUAAGGUUUCUCAAUAGCUACUCUUAUUCUUGUUCCUGGACUGCAGCUGUACUGCAGCUGGUCUGAAUCCAAAAGUGGGAACUCCUGGAAGAAUCCAGACAUGCUAGCUGGGCUGAGCCCUUCUUCCUUGGCCACCUUGAAGCAGGUAGCUGAGAAAAGCAGAUAGCCUUCACUGUCUGCUUCCUCACCACCACCCCUGGCUGAAUACUUGUUCUGGAACUUCCCAACCACAUGCAAAAAGGAACUUUCCAGGGGUUAGACUCAGCCCAGAGGAAUAAAGAUGCUAAUCACUUUGGGCAGCUAUCCCUCUCUCUCCACCUGGAUCUCAGCCACACCCACCCACAAUUUCUGGCUUGAUUUAACAUCUUGGCUGGCAUCCUCAACAGGUGCACAAAGUGGGGACUUCAUUCCCAGGAGCCUUUGCCAAAAGCUCCCAUUCCCUUAGAGGGAGGGGGAGAAUAUGGCCUCAGUAGAAUAUCAAUAAGAAGCUAUGGUGAGAAGACAUAGUUGGCCAGAGCUGGUGAUGGGGUAAUUAAUUCUACUUAAGAAAAAUGUUACUAAUAAUUAAAUGUACUAAUUAAGAAAAAUUGGAUCAGCUGUUGUUGGUGUAACACAGAAGCUGCAGCUUUGCUGACACAUUUCUUGGGUAGCUUCCGGCUGGGACUAAAUGCAGCAGACACUGUUGGAGCCCAAGAGAAGCCAGAGGAGAUGUGAUCUGGAGAGGUCUUCAUGGAAGGAAGCAGCACACUUGGGAGGGUCUGGGCUGCCAUCAAGGUGUUGGCCAGAGCUGGGGUCUCAUCUGAAGGCUUGAGUGGGGAAAGAUCCAAGUCCAAGAUCACAUGGCUGCCGGCAGGAUUCAGUUCCUUGAGGGUUGUUGAACUGAGGUCUCAGCUGCGAGCUGGCUAUUGGCUGGAGGUCAGUUCCUUGCUAGGUGAGCCUCUCCAACAAGCCAGUUUCCUUCAUCAAAGCACGGAAGCCAGAAGGCAAUGGAAUGUGCUAACAACACAAAUGGCAAUCUUAUAAAGCCUGAUCACAGAAGCGA
Long non-coding RNA from Felis catus (domestic cat), 1505 nucleotides. RefSeq lists it as uncharacterized. The record is from RefSeq and is a predicted model, not a curated record. NCBI's taxonomy places the organism in Eukaryota, Metazoa, Chordata, Mammalia, Carnivora, Felidae. The transcript has 2 exons.